RNAcentral lists this ribosomal RNA (253 nucleotides) under uncultured bacterium. Its description in RNAcentral is "partial 16S ribosomal RNA". It matches the Rfam family "Bacterial small subunit ribosomal RNA", at positions 524 to 776 of the family's 1533-position model. The record is from RNAcentral.
GACGGAGGGUGCAAGCGUUGUUCGGAAUUACUGGGCGUAAAGGGCGCGUAGGCGGUCUGUUAAGUUCGGUGUGAAAGCCCCCGGCUCACCUGGGGAACUGCGCCGGAAACCGACAGACUCGAGUACCGGAGAGGAGGGUGGAAUUCCUGGUGUAGCGGUGAAAUGCGUAGAUAUCAGGAGGAACACCGGUGGCGAAGGCGGCCCUCUGGGACGGUACUGACGCUGAGACGCGAAAGCGUGGGGAGCAAACAGG